RNAcentral lists this ribosomal RNA (425 nucleotides) under uncultured bacterium. Its description in RNAcentral is "partial 16S ribosomal RNA". It matches the Rfam family "Bacterial small subunit ribosomal RNA", at positions 354 to 796 of the family's 1533-position model. The record is from RNAcentral.
GUGAGGAAUAUUGGACAAUGGAGGAAACUCUGAUCCAGCCAUGCCGCGUGAGUGAUGAAGGCCUUCGGGUUGUAAAGCUCUUUCGGGUGUGAAAAUGAUGAUGGUAACACCAGAAGAAGCCCCGGCUAACUCCGUGCCAGCAGCCGCGGUAAUACGGAGGGGGCGAGCGUUGUUCGGAAUCACUGGGCGUAAAGCGUGCGUAGGCGGUUAUACAAGUCAGGAGUGAAAUCCCAGGGCUCAACCUUGGAAUUGCUUUUGAGACUGUAUGACUAGAGAUCUAGAGAGGUUGGGGGAAUUCCGAGUGUAGAGGUGAAAUUCGCAGAUAUUCGGAGGAACACCAGUGGCGUAGGCGCCCAACUGGCUAGAUACUGACGCUGAGGCACGAAAGCGUGGGGAGCAAACAGGAUUAGAUACCCGGGUAGUCC